GAUGAACGCUGGCGGCGUGCCUAAUACAUGCAAGUCGAGCGAACAGACGAGGAGUUUGCUCCUUUGACGUUAGCGGCGGACGUGUGAGUAACACGUGUAUAAUCUACCUAUAAGACUGGUAUAAUUUCGGGACACCGGAGCUAAUCCCGUAUAAGAUCCUGAACCGCAGUGUUCAACAGUGAGAGACGGCCUUGCUGUCACUUCUCGAUGGAUCUGCGCUGUAUUAGCUAGUUGGUAAGUUAACGGCUUAUCAAGGCUACGAUGCGUUGCCGACCGGUGAGGGUGGUCGGCCACCUGGGAACUGGGACAGGGACCAGACGCCUGAGGGACGCAGCAGUAGGGUAUGGUACGCAGUAGGCGAGAACCUUACGGAGCGAGGCCGAGUGAGUGAAGAAAGUGUUGGGAGCGUAAAGCUCUGUUAUUAGGGGAGAACAGCUGUGGCAGUAGAUGAACCCUUAUUGACGGUAACGGAUCAAAAAGCAACGGCUAACUACGUG
Molecule: ribosomal RNA, 497 nt
Filed under: uncultured bacterium
Lineage: Bacteria
Description: partial 16S ribosomal RNA
Rfam family: Bacterial small subunit ribosomal RNA
Source: RNAcentral